AAAAAAAUAUACAGAGAAGCAAAAUAACAGGAAAAAGAAAAUGAUGAACUUUCAGAAGAAAAAAAAUAGUUAACAAAAUUAAUCAUGAGGAUUUCUUCAGUUGUGAUUCUUCUUUUUCCUUUUUUUUUUUCUCGUUCUCUUUAUCUGUAUUCAUCUUGGAUUUUCGUUGGUAGCGUGAAGCUGAAUCAGUUCAAUCGACUAGAUUCAGUGAAGAAUUCUCCAUCAGCCACAUUAUAUAACUGCAUAUGUGCUUCUCUCAAACUCCUUCCAAUGAAUCUUUUUCUUUGUCUGCUAUAACUCAUAUUCUGCAAAACAAUAAUAAAAGAUUGAUCAUUUUAUAAUUGUGUUACAAUAAAACGUAUUGAAACAAACACAGAUUCCCCAUUUGAGAAUGACUUCUUAUCGUUACUUUUAUCACUUGCUAACGUAAAUGAAUAUAACUUGUUUUCAGGAAGAACUGAUAUGAAGAGAAUCAAAGUUAAUGUUUGUACAUUUAUACAUAAUUCAAAAACAACAAUGAAGCACAAACACAAUUAUAAGAUCCAAAUUAAAAGAAAAACUGUGAACUUAUCUUAGUCAAAGUGACAAAGGCAGAUCACCGUCUUGGUAUUGCUAGG
RNAcentral lists this long non-coding RNA (617 nucleotides) under Brassica napus (rape). Its description in RNAcentral is "long non-coding RNA (BNAP_LNC020751)". Lineage: Eukaryota; Viridiplantae; Streptophyta; Magnoliopsida; Brassicales; Brassicaceae. The record is from RNAcentral.